UUAAGAAAUGUAAGGAUGUUAAUAGUAUUCUUACUUGACUAAGGCUCCGGAGGAAGCCACGGCUAACUCUGUGCCAGCAGCCGCGGUAAUACAGAGGUGGCAAGCGUUGUUCGGAAUUAUUGGGCGUAAAGAGCACGUAGGCGGCCCUGCAAGUCAGCUGUGAAAGCCUCCUGCUUAACGGGAGAAGUGCAGUUGAAACUACGGGGCUAGAGUGCGGAAGGGGAGAGUGGAACUUCUGGUAAU
RNAcentral lists this ribosomal RNA (243 nucleotides) under uncultured Planctomycetales bacterium. RNAcentral describes it as "partial 16S ribosomal RNA". It matches the Rfam family "Bacterial small subunit ribosomal RNA", at positions 443 to 677 of the family's 1533-position model. The record is from RNAcentral. Lineage: Bacteria; Pseudomonadati; Planctomycetota; Planctomycetia; Planctomycetales.